RNAcentral lists this ribosomal RNA (253 nucleotides) under uncultured bacterium. RNAcentral's name for it is "partial 16S ribosomal RNA". It matches the Rfam family "Bacterial small subunit ribosomal RNA", at positions 524 to 776 of the family's 1533-position model. The record is from RNAcentral.
UACGAAGGGGGCUAGCGUUGCUCGGAAUCACUGGGCGUAAAGGGUGCGUAGGCGGGUCUUUAAGUCAGGGGUGAAAUCCUGGAGCUCAACUCCAGAACUGCCUUUGAUACUGGGGACCUCGAGUCCGGGAGAGGUGAGUGGAACUGCGAGUGUAGAGGUGAAAUUCGUAGAUAUUCGCAAGAACACCAGUGGCGAAGGCGGCUCACUGGCCCGGUACUGACGCUGAGGUGCGAAAGCGUGGGGAGCAAACAGG